RNAcentral lists this unclassified non-coding RNA (241 nucleotides) under uncultured fungus. Its description in RNAcentral is "partial contains 5.8S ribosomal RNA, internal transcribed spacer 2, and large subunit ribosomal RNA". The record is from RNAcentral. Lineage: Eukaryota; Fungi.
AACGCACAUUGCACCCUAUAGCAUUCUGUAGGGUAUGCCUGUUCGAGCGUCAUUACAACCCUCAAGCUCUGCUUGGUAUUGAGUGUCACCGCAGCGGUGCACUUCAAAUCCAGUGGCGGCGCCAUUUAGGCUCCAGUGUAGUAAAUCUCUCGCUGUGGAUACCUAAGUGUGCUCUUGCCGUCAACCUCUUAAAUUUUCAAAGGUUGACCUCGGAUCAGGUAGGGAUACCCGCUGAACUUAA